Molecule: ribosomal RNA, 301 nt
Filed under: uncultured bacterium
Lineage: Bacteria
Description: partial 16S ribosomal RNA
Rfam family: Bacterial small subunit ribosomal RNA
Source: RNAcentral
CAGCCGCCGCGGGAACACGAAGGGUGCAAGCGUUAAUCGGAAUUACUGGGCGUAAAGCGCGCGUAGGUGGUUUGGUAAGAUGGAUGUGAAAUCCCCGGGCUCAACCUGGGAACUGCAUCCAUAACUGCCUGACUAGAGUACGGUAGAGGGUGGUGGAAUUUCCUGUGUAGCGGUGAAAUGCGUAGAUAUAGGAAGGAACACCAGUGGCGAAGGCGACCACCUGGACUGAUACUGACACUGAGGUGCGAAAGCGUGGGGAGCAAACAGGAUUAGAUACCCCGGUAGUCCCUGUCUCUUAUAC